Molecule: ribosomal RNA, 342 nt
Filed under: Escherichia coli
Lineage: Bacteria; Pseudomonadati; Pseudomonadota; Gammaproteobacteria; Enterobacterales; Enterobacteriaceae
Description: bacterial SSU rRNA
Rfam family: Bacterial small subunit ribosomal RNA
Source: RNAcentral
GAAGUUUUCAGAGAUGAGAAUGUGCCUUCGGGAACCGUGAGACAGGUGCUGCAUGGCUGUCGUCAGCUCGUGUUGUGAAAUGUUGGGUUAAGUCCCGCAACGAGCGCAACCCUUAUCCUUUGUUGCCAGCGGUCCGGCCGGGAACUCAAAGGAGACUGCCAGUGAUAAACUGGAGGAAGGUGGGGAUGACGUCAAGUCAUCAUGGCCCUUACGACCAGGGCUACACACGUGCUACAAUGGCGCAUACAAAGAGAAGCGACCUCGCGAGAGCAAGCGGACCUCAUAAAGUGCGUCGUAGUCCGGAUUGGAGUCUGCAACUCGACUCCAUGAAGUCGGAAUCGC